Molecule: ribosomal RNA, 301 nt
Filed under: uncultured bacterium
Lineage: Bacteria
Description: partial 16S ribosomal RNA
Rfam family: Bacterial small subunit ribosomal RNA
Source: RNAcentral
CAGCAGCCGCGGUAAGACAGAGGAUGCAAGCGUUAUCCGGAAUGAUUGGGCGUAAAGCGUCUGUAGGUGGCUUUUCAAGUCCGCCGUCAAAUCCCAGGGCUCAACCCUGGACAGGCGGUGGAAACUACCAAGCUGGAGUAUGGUAGGGGCAGAGGGAAUUUCCGGUGGAGCGGUGAAAUGCGUUGAGAUCGGAAAAAACACCAACGACGAAAGCACUCUGCUGGGCCGACACUGACACUUAGAGACGAAAGCUAGGGGAGCAAAUGGGAUUAGAUACCCCAGUAGUCCCUGUCUCUUAUAC